UACCGUGAAAAAAUUAGAGUGUUCAAAGCAGGCAGAUAUUCUUUUACUGCCACCGAAUACAUUAGCAUGGGAUAAUGGAAUAGGACCCUGUCCUUCAUGUUUCGCGUUGGUUGUGUGUUAAGCGCGUGCGCAAGCGCGUGGCUGGCACAUGGUUUCGUCUGAAGGAGGACCAGGGUAAUGAUUAAUAGGGAUAGUUGGGGGCAUUAAUAUUUAAUUGUCAGAGGUGAAAUUCUUGGAUUUAUGAAAGAUUAACUUCUGCGAAAGCAUCUGCCAAGGAUGUUUUCAUUAAUCAAGAACGAAAGUUAGGGGAUCGAAGACGAUUAGAUACCGUCGUAGUCUUAACCAUAAACCAUGCCGACCAGCGAUUGGGAGACGUUUCACACGGAAGUGGUGCCAGGAGGCGCCCCGCUUUGCCCCGUAAAAAAGGGCCGAGCAGGCGCCUCUCUUGGGCUGCUUCCACUAAAGGAUGACUCCCUAGCA
RNAcentral lists this ribosomal RNA (480 nucleotides) under Acanthamoeba sp. Its description in RNAcentral is "SSU rRNA". It matches the Rfam family "Eukaryotic small subunit ribosomal RNA", at positions 753 to 1085 of the family's 1831-position model. The record is from RNAcentral. Lineage: Eukaryota; Discosea; Longamoebia; Acanthamoebidae.